AAACGUUAGGGGGGCGGCGGCGGCCAUUUUGUUUACAGAGUGAAAGUGACAGGAGCCGGGGAGAGAGUGGGAAGCAGAACGCCGGUGCUUCUCUCAGCCACGUCCCUCUUCCCUUCCCUGUCCCACCAUGUCGGAGAAGCUCAGCGCCGACAGCCGGUGCGAACAGACGGGCGACGAGAAACAGGGCAGCUUAGCAGCAUGGUGUGCAGCUCCCGAUACACAGGAGAAGGAAACAGUCAUCCCUGAGAGAGCAGAAGAAGCAAAACUAAAGGCCAAAUAUCCUAAUUUAGGACAGAAGCCAGGAGGGUCAGACUUCCUAAUGAAAAGACUGCAGAAAGGGCAAAAGUAUUUUGACUCGGGUGACUACAAUAUGGCCAAGGCAAAGAUGAAGAACAAGCAGUUGCCAACCACCGGGCCAGACAAUAACCUGGUGACAGGAGACCAUAUCCCGACACCACAAGAUCUUCCACCGAGAAAGUCAUCACUUGUAACCAGCAAGCUGGCAGGGUAAACCUGCACUUCUGUAUUUUUUUUUUUUUUUAUUUAUUAUUUGUGUGUGUGUGUGUGUGUGUGUGUGUCAAACUGAUUGAACUUCACUGUAUUAUAGGGCUGGGAUGAUCGGAAUUCAUGUAAUCAUUCAAAUACUUACAGUAAUCAAACAAAAGGAAAGCAAGUGAGAUGAGUUUAUAGUCCUGGGUGUGUGUGCAGAUUUUUACAACUGGUGAUCAUUCAGCUGAGUGGAUCCUUUCCAUACAAAGUCAGUUUGCUGCCUUAGUUUGCGUGCAGCUGAAAUCCCUCAGGUAUCAGAGGAGUCCUAGCAGAAGUGUUUGAACUUUGCCACCUCACUAUCUGAAGCUUAUAAAAGCAGAAUACUGCAUCAAAAGAUUGGCCCGCCAUUGGCUCUUAGCUUGGCGUGCAGAUCUUGGGCCUCUGGGAGCCUCUUGCUGUUCAGCUACUAGGUCCAAGGUACUGAGAGGUAUAGAAAGAAUUGGGCAGGACUAGGAUGACCAACAAAUAGGUGGCCCAUGGGUAUAUAUAUUAUGCUUGAGCUAAAUGAAUAGUGGAACUCUUGAACAAGAAAUUAGCGAGAAUACAGAAAGUAAUUCGGCAAAAUGUGUUUUUAAAGAAAUGUCAAUAUUUGCUAUUCUGCUUGGCUGAGCAAAUUGGGAACUAUUCCAUACUCACAGGUACCAAUGUGCUUUGGCAAAAUUAGAGUAAGCCCUCUUGACAGAAGACUCUCUCUUCAGUUCUACCUCCUGGAAUCUGCAGGUUUUUAAUCUUUGAUUUCCUCUUUGAAAAUCCAGUGUUCUUAAUUGUCAACAUUUAAAACAACCUACUUACCUUCAAUCAGAAUUUGUACCUGUGACUAAAUCGCUCUGUCUCAGGAACUCAUAUGGCCCUGAUCACCGUAAUAUCUGAGCACCUGACAAUCCUUAAUGUGUCGAUCCUCAUAGCACCCCUGUGAGCACAGCAGUACUAUUAUCCCACUUUUACAGAUGGAGAACCGAGGCACAGAGAAACUAAGUGAUUUGCACGUGGUCACAAAGUGGCCGAGCAAGGAACUGAACCUGUAUCUCCCAAGUUUCAGACUGAAAAUAAGGUGUAAAUUUUUAACGGUGAGAGUAAUGAACCAUUGGAACAAUUUACCAAAGGUUAUGGUGGAUUUUCCAUCACUGACCAUUCUUAAAUAGAGAUUAGUUGUUUUUCUAAAGGAUCUGCUCUGGGAAGUAUUAUGGCCUAUCUUUUGUACAGGAGGUCAGACUAGAUGAUCACAGUUGUCCCUUCUGGCCUUAGAUUCAUUCAUAGAUUCCAUGAGUCUAAGUCCCAGGCUAGCACCUUAACUAAUAGCUGAAAUUACAGAGUAAUAAAUUACUGCUCUGCACUGCAGCCUGUUACUGAUAAAAAAAUAUUUUUAAGCCUGUUGGAAAGGAUAAGGAAGAGUGUAAAGCAAACAUGGCUUAUUAGAUUGUAGUUCAGAAAAAUGGGACAAUAAUUAUGACCCUUCUAAACCCAUGAGGAUGCGUGGGGAAGAGGCAAUUCUCUUUGAAGCUAGAGGAUUUCAGGAUAGAAGAUCACCAGCCUGUAAAAAAACCUGAGAACCUGGGAGGAUGGAGUGGAAAGAAGCAUAAAAACAAACUUGCAUUAAUGGCAUAACACAUUAGUAGCUUGGUUUUUGUUUGUUUGUUUGUUUGUUUUCCCCUGCCUGUGUCUGUUUCAGGCCUGAAAACCAUGUUGAUUCAAUGGCUGCAGCUUGUGGAAUGCAAGAUCACAACUGAUAAUGCAUGUCAAAUAUGGUCUUCGUGUGGCAUAGAAAAUACAGCAUUUCACCCGGAACACAAGAUCGAACUGCAUUUAUAAUCUUGAGGAAUAUUUUAUCAGAGAUGCAACAAUGUGGUGGGUUACAAGGUGUUUCACUGGAACGAUAAUUUUAAGAUUUCAGCAUGCAGCUUGCUGUGCUGAAAGCAAACAUGAAUCUCUGUUUUAAGUCCAGAAUUUAAAGAUUUGGGUUUGUUUGUUUGUUUUUGGGGGACGGGGGAGGGAAUCUGUUUAAUCAGUUCAUUCUGUAGGAUACCAUAUCGAGGUCAAGAAAACCCAAUGAAAGGUAACACUUGAAACUCCACAAUUGAUGUAGCUUUGUCUACCUACAUUCUCUGCUAUGCCUUACUUUAGGGACUAAAAAUUACCAAGUAAUUCAUACAAAGGUCUGUUUCAGUUGACCAUGUUUUGCUGAUGAUGAUUUUAAAUGGAAAACAUGGUAUUGCUCUAGCUAAUCAGGGUAUUUCUAAAAGUCAUGUUUCAAAAAAGAAGUAAAACAUCCAUGUUUCGGAGGUUGUAAAGAACCAUUUUUUUUUCUUUUCAUAGAGACUGGUCAAUAAAAAGUCAAUUUCACCAGAGUGAAAAGGAGACAGGGUUUAGCGGGGAGUGGGAAAUUCCUUCUUUGUAAAUGUGUAAUUUCAUUCUUUAGUCUCCGUCUCCUCAUGCCUUAUGUCCAGGUUCGAAUCUGAGAAGGUUGGGGGGAAAAGCUACUGGUGUCUUGUAUAAUCUCCUCAAAUGUCUUGCUGUUUGUCCCAGCCACAUUGUAAAUAGAUAUGAAUCAUAUAUAUAUAAAUAUAUAUAAUUUUUUACAUCAUCUUCAUCUCUAUCUUCUAUUGUUCUAUGCUUUUUUCUUAAAAAAAAACAAAAAAAAACAAAAAAACUGCUCUUGCACUACUGAGUACCUGUCAGCUGUUGGCUAAACCUUCAUGGUGGUGUUCUCAGUGAAAUCUGAUUGACAGGGAGAACAGAGAGGGGAAUGAACAUGUUGAACCAUUUCCCCCCACUCCCUCCAGGAUUCAGGAAAUACCAAGUGUAUUUAUAUAGAAAGGAGGAAGAAAUUACCUUCAAAAUACUGAGUGAGAAACAUCAGGAGAGAUGAUUAUUUUAAAAAAUAAACUUGUCUCAAACACA
Molecule: non-coding RNA, 3447 nt
Organism: Chrysemys picta bellii (western painted turtle)
Lineage: Eukaryota; Metazoa; Chordata; Testudines; Emydidae
Source: RefSeq, a predicted model, not a curated record